Molecule: ribosomal RNA, 1171 nt
Filed under: Triticum aestivum (bread wheat)
Lineage: Eukaryota; Viridiplantae; Streptophyta; Magnoliopsida; Poales; Poaceae
Description: partial small subunit ribosomal RNA
Source: RNAcentral
CUUAAACAGACUUACAUAUAGUAUCAAAGGGCCACAAAUUAAAUAUUAUGUAACUACUACCUAAAUACCAGGAUACCGAAGACAUUUAAAAUCAACAAGAAAACUCUGACAAAGAAAAUGUCACUCUACUAUCACUUAAAAGGUCACCGGUGGCGAAAAGACUCUAGUGGUAGUGAUGGACCGUGAGACUAAAACGAUAUUGACAACAGGAGGAAUAUCCAUGAUGUGAAAGAGAAAGAUGAAGAAAACAAAGCGGUACAAACAAUGUCAAGUAACACUAAGAAAAUAUAAGUAACAUGGAGAAGAACAAACGACAAGAGCUACGACGUUGUGACCAUUGACUCUUAGGCCGCUGUUAGUUUAUCUUCAGCUUCUUAAGAACAGGAAGAGAACACAACUUGAGGUAAAGGUCCAACGGCAUUGACUACCAAUAGGUACGAAAAACGUCGAAGUAAUAAUGAGAGAAAUACAAGGUGUGUACACCGUGUACCAGACUUCACAUACUUAAAGGGGUAUUGUACUACCUAGGAAGUAGAAGUCGAUUGAACGUCGUUACGUCGUUCACAUACGAAAAUAAAUAAAUAAAAGAAGUCCUUAAAAACAACGACUACGUUGGACUUAUACACAAAUGUAUAGUCAAAGAGAUGAACUACAAAGAAUUAAUGGAACAGGUUCGAAUCUAACAGUUCUUCAGUAUGAAAGGUCCCUAGACUUCUUCGACCUAGUUAUGUUCGAAAUACAUCUCUUUGAAAUACAUCGAACGACAGAACGACAUGUAACAGACUUCGAAAUACAUCGAAACGACAGAACGACAUGCAACGACAUUGAAUGUCAAUGUCCCAACAUGUCAGGACAUAGUAGUUUGACCAAAAGACAUCGUAGAACAGACAGGACCAUCAACUCAUUCAAUAAAAGACACUUAACAAGGACAAAGUUCGUUUAAGUCUAGGAACUGUUACGGUACUCUUAAAGUCCAAAAGAAGGUAUUCACAACACUUCUUUUGUUUUGACAGUUAUUGGACCUCUUCCAGCACUCUCAUGACUGCACCGUCACUACGAAAAACUCGGGAAAGUAACGAACGAGUACCUAGUAUCUCGCGUAUCUAGUAUGUACGUACAUAAAGGUCAGUUCAAAAAUAAAAGGUAAACACAGUCUAACAAUGACCAACCG